RNAcentral lists this transfer RNA (76 nucleotides) under Chloroflexota bacterium. RNAcentral's name for it is "Chloroflexi bacterium tRNA-Lys". It matches the Rfam family "tRNA". Rfam says of the family: Transfer RNA (tRNA) molecules are approximately 80 nucleotides in length. Their secondary structure includes four short double-helical elements and three loops (D, anti-codon, and T loops). Further hydrogen bonds mediate the characteristic L-shaped molecular structure. tRNAs have two regions of fundamental functional importance: the anti-codon, which is responsible for specific mRNA codon recognition, and the 3' end, to which the tRNAs corresponding amino acid is attached (by aminoacyl-tRNA synthetases). tRNAs cope with the degeneracy of the genetic code in two manners: having more than one tRNA (with a specific anti-codon) for a particular amino acid; and 'wobble' base-pairing, i.e. permitting non-standard base-pairing at the 3rd anti-codon position. RNAcentral also lists the same sequence under 1 other name. The record is from RNAcentral. Lineage: Bacteria; Bacillati; Chloroflexota.
GCCCGCAUAGCUCAGUUGGUAGAGCAGCUGACUCUUAAUCAGUUGGUCGGGGGUUCGAAUCCUCCUGCGGGCACCA